Molecule: ribosomal RNA, 254 nt
Filed under: uncultured bacterium
Lineage: Bacteria
Description: partial 16S ribosomal RNA
Rfam family: Bacterial small subunit ribosomal RNA
Source: RNAcentral
UACGGAGGAUCCAAGCGUUAUCCGGAUUUAUUGGGUUUAAAGGGUGCGUAGGCGGCCUGUUAAGUCAGGGGUGAAAGACGGUAGCUCAACUAUCGCAGUGCCCUUGAUACUGACGGGCUUGAAUGAACUAGAGGUAGGCGGAAUGUGACAAGUAGCGGUGAAAUGCAUAGAUAUGUCACAGAACACCGAUUGCGAAGGCAGCUUACUAUGGUUUUAUUGACGCUGAGGCACGAAAGCGUGGGGGAUCAAACAGG